Molecule: ribosomal RNA, 547 nt
Filed under: uncultured Glomeromycotina
Lineage: Eukaryota; Fungi; Glomeromycota
Description: SSU rRNA
Rfam family: Eukaryotic small subunit ribosomal RNA
Source: RNAcentral
UUGGAGGGCAAGUCUGGUGCCAGCAGCCGCGGUAAUUCCAGCUCCAAUAGCGUAUAUUAAAGUUGUUGCAGUUAAAAAGCUCGUAGUUGAAUUUCGGGAUCAGCAGGUUGGUCGUGCCUCUGGUAUGCACUGGUUUCGCUGAUUCCUCCUUUCUGAAGAACUGUAACGUCAUUAAUUUGGUGUUGCAGGGAAACAGGACUGUUACUUUGAAAAAAUUAGAGUGUUUAAAGCAGGCUAACGCUUGAAUACAUUAGCAUGGAAUAAUGAAAUAGGACGUUUGAUCCUAUUUUGUUGGUUUCUAGGAUUGACGUAAUGAUUAAUAGGGAUAGUUGGGGGCAUUAGUAUUCAAUUGUCAGAGGCGAAAUUCUUGGAUUUAUUGAAGACUAACUACUGCGAAGGCAUUUGCCAAGGAUGUUUUCAUUAAUCAAGAACGAAAGUUAGGGGAUCGAAGACGAUCAGAUACCGUCGUAGUCUUAACCAUAAACUAUGCCGACUAGGGAUCGGAUGAUGUUAUUUUUAAUGACUCAUUCGGCGCCUUACGGGAAAC